RNAcentral lists this ribosomal RNA (253 nucleotides) under uncultured bacterium. Its description in RNAcentral is "partial 16S ribosomal RNA". It matches the Rfam family "Bacterial small subunit ribosomal RNA", at positions 524 to 776 of the family's 1533-position model. The record is from RNAcentral.
UACGGAGGGAGCAAGCGUUACUCGGAAUUAUUGGGCGUAAAGGGCGCGUAGGCGAUUUGACAAGUCAACUGUGAAAGCCCAGGGCCUAACCCUGGAAGAGCAGCUGAAACUGUUGAAUUUGAGUUCCGGAGAGGAAGGCAGAAUUCCCGGUGUAGCGGUGAAAUGCGUAGAUAUCGGGAGGAAUACCAGUGGCGAAGGCGGCCUUCUGGACGGAUACUGACGCUGAGGCGCGAAAGCCAGGGGAGCAAACGGG